Canis lupus familiaris (dog) is the source of this 538-nucleotide long non-coding RNA. RefSeq lists it as uncharacterized. The record is from RefSeq and is a predicted model, not a curated record. The transcript is spliced from 3 exons. Lineage: Eukaryota; Metazoa; Chordata; Mammalia; Carnivora; Canidae.
AGCAGGUGUGGAAGCCCAGAGAAACUUCUCUCUUUCUCUUCCUCCAUUGCUAAUGAUUCCCACCAAACACAGUUCUGGGUCAGAGUCCAAAGUGUGAGAGGGGUGAGGGGAAGAUGCUGGAUUAUAGCAGAGGACGAGAAAGACAAGCGACACUGAGGAGAGAAAGGAGGCCAUAAGACAGGAGAGACACAGGAAAGGCCACGGGAAGCUGGAAGCAGACAAUGGGAGUAAUGUGGCCACAAACCAAGGAAGACCAGAGCUGGAAGGAUUCUCCUCCAGACCCUUUGAUGCUGAAAUGGCAAGUCUGAAGAGCAAUAAAUAAUCACAGAUUUCUUAUGAAAUUCAAACAAUGGGGAAUCAUUAAAGGUCUACCCAUUUCUGAAGGAGCCAAGAAGCCGUGCCUCGUCUUGAGGGUUUAAUCUACUUACACAGAGGGAAAAAGAUUUCUCUACCCUACACCACUGUCAUCCCAAGAGGCUUCACUUGUUUUUCUUUUGAAAAAAAAAUUUUGCAUUUUCCAUAGUUGCAAAAAUAACAA